UUUUAUAAAUAUUUAAGGCUUAAAUUGUGACUACAAAAACAAUAUAGUUACAAAAAUAGGGUUGCUAAAAAAACAAGCUAAAGAAGCAACUGGUUCUACAAGAAGGUGGUCAGCUAAAACCGAAAAGAUUCUCUGUUUCGAUCACAGCAGAGGGGAUUGAAAAAGAUCUGUUUGCCAUGAGAGGUAAAAGGCCCUUAGGUCCAACAAGAAGAGAACCAAGAAGAUGCAGAAUGAUGUUGAUAUAAAGAAAAUACUGUGUUCUCAUUCCUGGGAGUUCACUCUUUGGAGGUCAUAUGGCACGUUUUUAAACAUUAUUAGCUCAAUAAUAGUUGCUUGCUAA
RNAcentral lists this long non-coding RNA (340 nucleotides) under Helianthus annuus (common sunflower). RNAcentral's name for it is "hypothetical non coding rna". Lineage: Eukaryota; Viridiplantae; Streptophyta; Magnoliopsida; Asterales; Asteraceae. The record is from RNAcentral.